Molecule: unclassified non-coding RNA, 607 nt
Filed under: Aspergillus sydowii
Lineage: Eukaryota; Fungi; Ascomycota; Eurotiomycetes; Eurotiales; Aspergillaceae
Description: sequence contains ITS1, 5.8S rRNA gene, ITS2
Rfam family: 5.8S ribosomal RNA (bases 201-354)
Source: RNAcentral
AUCGUAACAAGGUUUCCGUAGGUGAACCUGCGGAAGGAUCAUUACUGAGUGCGGGCUGCCUCCGGGCGCCCAACCUCCCACCCGUGAAUACCUAACACUGUUGCUUCGGCGGGGAACCCCCUCGGGGGCGAGCCGCCGGGGACUACUGAACUUCAUGCCUGAGAGUGAUGCAGUCUGAGUCUGAAUAUAAAAUCAGUCAAAACUUUCAACAAUGGAUCUCUUGGUUCCGGCAUCGAUGAAGAACGCAGCGAACUGCGAUAAGUAAUGUGAAUUGCAGAAUUCAGUGAAUCAUCGAGUCUUUGAACGCACAUUGCGCCCCCUGGCAUUCCGGGGGGCAUGCCUGUCCGAGCGUCAUUGCUGCCCAUCAAGCCCGGCUUGUGUGUUGGGUCGUCGUCCCCCCCGGGGGACGGGCCCGAAAGGCAGCGGCGGCACCGUGUCCGGUCCUCGAGCGUAUGGGGCUUUGUCACCCGCUCGACUAGGGCCGGCCGGGCGCCAGCCGACGUCUCCAACCAUUUUUCUUCAGGUUGACCUCGGAUCAGGUAGGGAUACCCGCUGAACUUAAGCAUAUCAAUAAGCGGAGGAAAAGAAACCAACCGGGAUUGCCUCA